AGAGUUUGAUCCUGGCUCAGAACGAACGCUGGCGGCGUGCCUAACACAUGCAAGUCGAACGGGGAUAGGGAGCUUGCUUCCUAUUCUAGUGGCGCACGGGUGAGUAACGCGUAGAUAAUCUGCCUGAUGAUCUGGGAUAACACUUCGAAAGAGGUGCUAAUACCGGAUAAGCCCACGGGGUCUUUGGAUCUUGCGGGAAA
RNAcentral lists this ribosomal RNA (200 nucleotides) under uncultured bacterium. Its description in RNAcentral is "partial 16S ribosomal RNA". It matches the Rfam family "Bacterial small subunit ribosomal RNA", at positions 8 to 204 of the family's 1533-position model. The record is from RNAcentral.